Nicotiana tabacum (common tobacco) is the source of this 746-nucleotide long non-coding RNA. RefSeq lists it as uncharacterized. NCBI's taxonomy places the organism in Eukaryota, Viridiplantae, Streptophyta, Magnoliopsida, Solanales, Solanaceae. The record is from RefSeq and is a predicted model, not a curated record.
CGUGAGAACGUGGAGUAGGAGUUAUCAUCGGUAGUUCUCCCCAUCUCCUCUUCUCUAAAUACUUCUCUUCAGUAUGGAGAUUCUGGUGUGCAAAAAAUUAAAGAAAGGAAGAACACAGUGAACUUUAGACAUUUAGUUUGUGAAUAAAAACUCUGUUUCCUGGAGAUUCAGAAUACGAUUUGGGCAAUUCUUUUGGUGGUGAGUUUAACGGUUUCCGCUGCAUCAAUAAGAUAUGGCUGAAGAAGGACAAGUUCGAAUUACUCCAAGUGGGAGCUCUCGAAGUCAAGAAGAGGACAACGUAGAAGGGUACGUCACCGCAGGACUUAUUUCUAUAAUGAUUCAGACUCGGAGCCUGAAGUCAUCAAUGUCCCAAGGGCGACACAAAAUGAGUUAAGGGAUCGAAGGGUUGAACGAAGGGAAAGAGAAAAGAAAUUUAGGGAGUUUAAGGAAUUUAAAAUGAGCCCUGAUGUUUCCGUUCCUGAUCAUGUACACCUCUUUAAGAUAAAAAAAAGUUGAAUUGGCUAAUUACGAAAAAAUUACUGAUUGGGAAGCAUUAACUAUUUUAGCGGACUCUCUUCGAGAGCCUUGGGGUGAAAUUUUAACUGAGAUUUAUCAUGAUCUUUCGCCUAAUGCACCUUUUAGCGUAUAUGAGUAAGAGUUAGUGUUCGAUUGAUAUAUGGAUGUCCUAGCAAACAUGUAAAUUGUUAUUAUGUGUUCUAUUUUAAUGAAAUUUUAUAUUAUGUUUU